GUGGGGAAUAUUGGGCAAUGGGCGAAAGCCUGACCCAGCAACGCCGCGUGAAGGAAGAAGGUCUUCGGAUCGUAAACUUCUAUCCUUGGUGAAGAUAAUGACGGUAGCCGAGAAGGAAGCCCCGGCUAACUACGUGCCAGCAGCCGCGGUAAUACGUAGGGGGCAAGCGUUGUCCGGAAUGAUUGGGCGUAAAAGGCGCGUAGGCGGCCUGGUAAGUCUGGAGUGAAAGUCCUGCUUUUAAGGUGGGAAUUGCUUUGAAUACUGUCGGGCUUGAGUGCAGGAGAGGUAAGUGGAAUUCCCGGUGUAGCGGUGAAAUGCGUAGAGAUCGGGAGGAACACCAGUGGCGAAGGCGACUUACUGGACUGUAACUGACGCUGAGGCGCGAAAGUGUGGGGAGCAAACAGGAUUAGAAACCCGGGUAGUCC
This 425-nucleotide ribosomal RNA is filed under the name uncultured bacterium. Its description in RNAcentral is "partial 16S ribosomal RNA". It matches the Rfam family "Bacterial small subunit ribosomal RNA", at positions 354 to 796 of the family's 1533-position model. The record is from RNAcentral.